Volvox carteri f. nagariensis is the source of this 74-nucleotide transfer RNA. It matches the Rfam family "tRNA". Rfam says of the family: Transfer RNA (tRNA) molecules are approximately 80 nucleotides in length. Their secondary structure includes four short double-helical elements and three loops (D, anti-codon, and T loops). Lineage: Eukaryota; Viridiplantae; Chlorophyta; Chlorophyceae; Chlamydomonadales; Volvocaceae. The record is from Rfam.
GACACGAUGGUGUAGUUGGUUAUCACAUCUGUCUCACACACAGGAGGUCCCCAGUUCGAACCUGGGUCGUGUCA